GGAAAUGCGAUUUCUCACCUACAAAGAGGAUAACAAGGGGUAUCAGGAAGUUGCGAAGAGGAGAACACAAUCUGCAGCGCCGGACUUGCGCGUGAUGUCUGUGUGCCUGUCCGUCUGUUUGUUCUGGGUGGGGUUGGGAAGGAGGGUUUACGCCGUACGGUGGAUUACGGCACGGUACGGCAGGUCACGAUACGGCGUAUGUACGGCAAAUGCUGAAGUCCGUCCCAACGUUUAGCAAACGCGGUUGAGAAGCACACAGCAAGUGCGUGCGGGGUCAGUCCGGAAGGUGAUGUAGCUGAUAGGGGCUUCACAGGGGGACUUAUUAAAAUGGCGAUGGCGAUGAUGAUGACACAAUUCAUACUGCACUGCUUUGCCUGGGCUUGCUGGUGCUGGUGCUUUAAUUUGUUUUGAUCUUUUGCUGCCUGCCUGCCUGCCUGCCUGCCUGCUGAGUUUGAGUUAUGUGUUGGAGAGUUCCGAAAUGGGAAACAGCGAUGUAACGCUGGAUGUUAGGGAGGCAGGGGGGAUGUUAAUUGGCCGCAAUGGCCAUCAGUAUAAUAUGAUGGGGAUGAUGACUGCUAUAUAAUUAUAAUGGGCCGCAAACAGGGAGCGCAAAUUGUUGCACUUCUGAGCUGCUCACUAUGAGUAGGUGAUGAGAAAGCACGUGUGUGCCGGUGUGUGUGUAUGUAUGUGUGUGUGUAUGUGUAUGUGUGUGUAUGUAUGUGUGUGUAUGUAUGUGUGUGCGCCGGUGCUUUCUUUGUGCUUUAACCCACACCCCCGACCCCAUGCGUGCUUUUGUGUAUAAGUGUACGGCAGCACCGUACCAUCACGCCACCACUGGGGGGCAUCGCUAGGGGGGUGAGGAGGGCUGUUUGGGUUUUGCUAAGUUGCUGCUGCUGCUGCUGCUGCUGUCGGUAUUAUUUUCUUUGUUUUGGGUUUGUUGUGUUUUUCCUCCUUUUUCGCGCUUUCACAUGCACACACAUACACACAAACACACACUAUUAAUAAGAAGCGUUUAGUCGGGGGGGAAUUGUCUAUUGACGCGCAACCAGGCAAGCAGGUUGUUUCGCAGUCAGCACUUGGAGCCGCAAUAAUACCUGCUGUGUAUGUACGGCAAAUGACUAUUUUUUAUGCUGCGUGUUUGUGGCGCAUGGUGCUGUUGUGCGUAGCCGGUAGUUAAUUAGUUGUAAUUCAGUCAGGGUUACCCAACUGCUCAUGCCGUCGCGAUGGGAUAGGAGCUGUUUGUACGACAUAUGGUGAGCGAGAGAGAGAAAGAGAGAGAGAAAGAGAGAGGCGUGUGGGGAUAUGGGGUGGAGCCGGAAUUUCUCUUCUCGUUCAUGUCCGUGGGGGAGUUGUGACCCCUAUUGCCGCCCCUUAUGUGUAUACUGUGUAUACGUUUGUAUGUUUGACGUUUUUCAUUUGUUUGACCUUCAUCCCCCAAUAUUGGAAUGUCUUAACGACAUUCCGCCAACAUGCCAUGAGAGCGUUGUGUGCGGCUGACUGGGAGGGCGGGGGAAGAGGGGGUUAUUAAGAGGGGGUUGGGGAUUGGGGGAUGGAAAAGAGAAGGGGGGCAAUGCUUCGUGGGCUGUACAGCAUAUCGACCACGUGGUGUAAUAAGGUGUACGGCAUCUCCAAGGGGAGGGUGAAGUAUUGUGCCGCAUCAGGUUUUGCCCCUUGCUCCUGUCCCCUGCGAGCACGUAUUGUUGUUGUUGAUGCUGGUGGGGUUAAACUCCUGUAUAUGUGUGUAUGUGUAGCUAUAUGUAUGUGUAGCUGUAUGUAUGUGUAGCUAUAUGUAUGUGUGUAUGUGUGUGUGUGUGUGCGUUGGCCAAGAUGGAAAAACAGGUAGGCUAGAAAACGGUGUGCUUCGUGUGACUGUACGGAAGAUUGUGUCGUGCAUUUCGCUCCCUUCUUCGCUGCACCCGAUUGUGUGUUUGUACGGUUGACUCUGCUAUUUAGGUAUGUUUGUAUGUACGCACUAACUGGUGCCGUACAACUUCAUUGGGCCCCAUUGGGUUGUAUCCCCUUCUUCCACAAUGGGUGCUGCCGUCGCAGCGACCUCCCAUUGCAACAGCCCCCCCCCACCGGCGCAUAAGUCCCCCCACAUGUGUGUAUGUAUGUAUGUGUGUGUAUGUAUGUAUGCGCAGCUGUACAUGUACGACAUUAAUCUCCACAGCCAACGACGUAACCUAACGCACAGCGUUUCUUAUAUUCAUUCUAAACCUAGGCAGGAUGCAAUCCAUCUUAACUAAAAAUAUUGACUUUAUUAAUUAAUUAUGGAUUUGUCCAUUUGGCCAUAUCGGAAUUCAAAUGGCCACUGCGAUCGCGAGCCCUUGCUGGCUGUUCUGUGCCGCCUACAGUUUAGUGGUGAUCGGCGUACGGCGGUGAUGUGUGAGGGCUCGGAAGGGAAAACGCCGUCCGACAGACUGACAGACUGGCUGACUGUGUGCAUCCCUGACUGCUGUUGCUGAUGUCCAGUGCUGUGAUCGUGAGUGUAUGUAUGUAUGUACGUCCGAUGUAACAUGUCGUACAAUCGGUACAUCAAUCCCAAGGCAGUGGAGUCGACAACAUCGUUGACCGGCCACAUAUACUAUACACACACACACCCCACUCUUGAUUGGGAAAAAAGGAAUCUCAGCAUCACGAUGGAUUUUGAAGGUCCUCAUUAUGCUAGUCGGCUCACGGACCCGACCAAUAAAGUCGAUAUAGACUUAUAAAACCCUAAAACCCU
This 2725-nucleotide long non-coding RNA is filed under the name Volvox carteri. RNAcentral's name for it is "long non-coding RNA (VCAR_LNC003548)". The record is from RNAcentral. Lineage: Eukaryota; Viridiplantae; Chlorophyta; Chlorophyceae; Chlamydomonadales; Volvocaceae.